Molecule: ribosomal RNA, 512 nt
Filed under: uncultured bacterium
Lineage: Bacteria
Description: partial 16S ribosomal RNA
Rfam family: Bacterial small subunit ribosomal RNA
Source: RNAcentral
GAUGAACGCUGGCGGCGUGCCUAAUACAUGCAAGUCGAACGAAACUUCUUUAUCACCGAGUGCUUGCACUCACCGAUAAAGAGUUGAGUGGCGAACGGGUGAGUAACACGUGGGCAACCUGCCCAAAAGAGGGGGAUAACACUUGGAAACAGGUGCUAAUACCGCAUAACCAUAGUUACCGCAUGGUAACUAUGUAAAAGGUGGCUAUACUACCGCUUUUGGAUGGGCCCGCGGCGCAUUAGCUAGUUGGUAGGGUAAAGGCUUACCAAGGCAAUGAUGCGUAGCCGAAUUGAGAGGUUGAUCGGCCACAUUGGGACUGAGACACGGCCCAAACUCCUACGGGAGGCAGCAGUAGGGAAUCUUCCACAAUGGGCGAAAGCCUGAUGGAGCAACGCCGCGUGGGUGAAGAAGGUCUUCGGAUCGUAAAACCCUGUUGUUAGAGAAGAAAGUGCGUGAGAGUAACUGUUCACGUUUCGACGGUACCUAACCAGAAAGCCACGGCUAACUACGUG